Non-coding RNA from Anas platyrhynchos (mallard), 1677 nucleotides. Lineage: Eukaryota; Metazoa; Chordata; Aves; Anseriformes; Anatidae. The record is from RefSeq and is a predicted model, not a curated record.
AAGAGUUAUGGGUGACAAAACCAGCCAUAGUUAUCACAUCAAUUUAACUUCUGUGCAUGAAGCCAAAUCCAAUUCAGCUGCGAGAAGCUGCAAAGAUCAAUUUUUCAACAUGACAAAACCCUCGCUGCUGCAGUUGCCCGGGUCCCAAAUCCCAGCAGAUUCGGCAAGCGCUAUACGAGGCCAGGUGACCACAAAGACACCUCUGUGCUGCCUCUGACAGAGGAAUAAGAAAAUUGGACCACAGAAGCACAAUUGUGCCAGCACAAUCAGCAGAAGUUACUUGAAGGAGAUGUCUGCCAAAGAAAAAGCUGACUGAAGAGUACUACACAGCUCUGAAACUUUAAGUGAUCAGUGCUAUUUCUUUUCACCAAGAUGAAAUGACGGGUAAUUUUUGUGAACAGUUCUCCCUCAAAGUAGCCAUAUCCACUCAAUUGUUACCAGCUGCAGGAUUCCCAGCCCAGGGCCUUUAUGUCAAAUGGGGAAUAUCAGAUAAUUGCUUGCACUUGGGUCACACUGAAAGGGAAAAAUAAAGUUAUUUCCAAUUGCAACAUACUGCUGUUUUUAGAGAUUGCUGUAUUGCUUUAAACCCAAAGUUCCUUCAAAGCACGUCUACUUGGAAAGCAGCCUGGCAGAAGUGCAGCAUCCAAAGGCGUCAGAUGAGAAGCCCAUCAGAAGCACCGCACGGCAUUGCAGAGUCGAGGUCCUCCAUUCACCCGUCCACCUCCAGCAGAAGGCUUCUGCCCACGGAGCUGUGGUUCUGCCAAUAAAGCUGGUUUCCUGCUCUCGGUGGGAGAUUUUAAUAUUGACAAUUAAAAACCCACUGGAAUUAAAUCAUUCCCCCUCUCAGCCCAGAGCCGAUGCCCUUCACGUGCUCACAGCCGUAUCGCAGCGCUCCUUCCCACCCCGCUGACUUCCCAGUUUGGUUGGAGUUUCGCUAAAUGCUAUGUAUUUAUUCUCUUUGUCUGAGGCCUUGAAAGUUGGCUUUUAGUCUGUAUGACAGGGCUCAUAAAUUAGUGACUAUGAAUUAUUCAUUAGGUAUUUAACCAAAUGCUCUACCAAAAUGCCCAGUGGCUGCAAAUCUAACAAAAAUACAUUAUAUAUUCUAUUUUUUCUUGAUAAAACACUAAAUACUACUUUUUUUUUUUUUUCCAAAGAUUUCCUUAAGGCAUCACUAGCUUUUACCUUAAGUGAUACUAGAAUAAAAGGCAGAUUUAAUAAUCUGUUUCAGUUUCUUAUCUUCCCUUUUCUUGAACCAUUAAUAUAACUGAAAGCAGAAAUGUAACUCAGCUUGUUAUCUUUGCAAAAUCAAAUACAUUAGACAGGGUAUUAUUUGCCUCAGGCAAUGCCAUUUCAAGUUUGUAUCACUCCUAGCCAGGACCAUUCAGUUUACAAAGAAAAAAAUUUGGAUUUGACAAUGACUGCUGCCACUUGUCUACAAUGAGCAAUUGCUCUUUCACCAAGAAAUCAGUUUCCACCCCAAUACAUUUGAAUGAGCAAACCUGUGGUGUUUAUUACAUAGGAAAUAUUUUCCCUAAAGUCUUGAAAUAAUUAGAAUUUGUUUUUCUUUGCCACGCUAGCAAGAGAAAUCGGAUAUUAACCAAGACCUUUCUUAGGAGAGCAAUUCCAUCUUUAACAACUUAGAAAUUAGAUUUUUUAACAAUGAAAUACAGCGCUCAU